Non-coding RNA from Delphinapterus leucas (beluga whale), 1660 nucleotides. NCBI's taxonomy places the organism in Eukaryota, Metazoa, Chordata, Mammalia, Artiodactyla, Monodontidae. The record is from RefSeq and is a predicted model, not a curated record.
CUGCCUGGGGUGGAGAGAAAAUUAGGGGUGAGACCUGUAGAAAGCCUUCGCAGGUGCCUGCACUGCUGCACACUGUGUUGGAGCCGACAGGAGUGGGGCACAGGAUCAACCAAGACCAGGUCUCAGUCCUUCAAGAGCUAAUCUGUCCAUCCCCAGCCACCCUUCUUCGCAGCCUCCCCUCAAAGGACACCAUUAUCCCUGCAAAGAGAGGGAGCUAAGGUAUUCGUUUUCCUCCCCACAGCACACCUGGGACUUAAAGUAAGUCUCCUGGGGUGUGGAGAGUACAUCGGCUGAGGCGAUGUCCAGAUGCAGCAGGAUCUGUCGGAAUGAUGGACGAUUUCGUGGUUUGCUGUUCCUGGAGGAAGUGGAGUCGUGGGAGAGAAAGGAAUUUCAGGGAGGUCCAGAAAGGAACUAGAGCAUCCUUUCCCAAAGGGUGUCCUGGAGAAUCCAACUCUACAAUGAUUCUGUGACAAAACUCCCUGGUCAACUAUCUAGGAAAUGUUACAGGCCAUCUGUUAGCAUAUCAAAGUCCUGCAGCCCUGGAAGAACCCCCCACCCCGCCAGCUCUCAUGCUGGCCACCUGCUAUUCUCAGUCCUCAGCCUGGCCCUCACCAGAUGUCGACCUUCUCAGACACAGGCUCGUUGCGGAUCACUUCAGGGGCCAUCCAGGCUACUGUCCCUGCAAAGGACAUCUUGGUGCUCUUGUCACUCAGCUCCUUGGAAGUGCCAAAAUCGGAGAUCUUCACCACAUCGUCGUACGUGAUGAGCAUGCUGGUAAAGAGUGUAGUCAGCUGGGGCCCGGGCCCCUCCACGCACCUCGUCUAGCUGCAGCAACUCUACCUUUCUGUUUGAAGUCAUCUGGGACACCCAGAAACGGGGGGUUUAUCACAGCCCUCUUGAGAUAGGGCUAUCACUUAGGAGGGGUUUCUGAGAUGGCCACAUGGACUUUAGGACAGGGUCUGAAAGCAGGGAGAUGGUCACACUGACCUGGGUGGGGACACCUACAGGAGACCGUGCACAGUAGCUUCUCCCUGCUUGCUUGCUUACUCACUUGGGGGACUUGAGGUCUCGGUGGAUAAUCUUGUGCAGGUGCAGGUAGUUCAUGCCGCCGGCAAUGCCCAUGGACCAGUCAACCAGCAAGGAGGGGGUGACAGGGCGGCCAGCCCGCAGCACCUCAUACAGCUGGCCCUGAGCGCAGAACUCCAUAAGGAUGCAGUAGCAGGGAGCCUGGGUACACACACCCCUGGGAGCCAAACACAGUGGCAUGAGGGGCUCAGCCAGCCCAGCAUCCACUUGGUUCACACCUGGCACCCCCAUUCCCACCCACGCCUUUCUGGCACCCGCUUCAGGAAGGGUGCGGUAGAUCCCUGCCCUCAAAAGAGUACCCCGGCCCCUGCCCCAGACCUUACUUGAAGGUGAUGAUGUUAGGGUGCUUCAGCUUUCGCAGGUGCUUGAUGUCAGUCUCCUUCAGGUCCCGUACCUUCUUCACAGCCACCUCCUCCCCAUGGAAGCGCCCCAGGAAGACGGCGCCCUGGGCCCCUGAGCCCACCCACUGCAGGUCCAGGAUUUCCUCAAAGGGGACCUCCCAAAGGGGACACAGUUCGAGCCCUGGUCCGGGAAGAUCCCACAUGCUGCGGAGCAACUAAGCCCAUGCACCACA